GACAGAGGGUGCGAACGUUGUUCGGAAUUACUGGGCGUAAAGGGCGCGUAGGCGGCUUAUCAAGUCAGGCGUGAAAUUCCCGGGCUCAACCUGGGGGCUGCGCUUGAUACUGAUUGGCUUGAAUGCGGGAGAGGAUAGUGGAAUUCCCAGUGUAGAGGUGAAAUUCGUAGAUAUUGGGAAGAACACCGGUGGCGAAGGCGGCUAUCUGGCCCGUAAUUGACGCCGAGGCGCGAAAGCGUGGGGAGCAAACAGG
RNAcentral lists this ribosomal RNA (253 nucleotides) under uncultured bacterium. RNAcentral's name for it is "partial 16S ribosomal RNA". It matches the Rfam family "Bacterial small subunit ribosomal RNA", at positions 524 to 776 of the family's 1533-position model. The record is from RNAcentral.